AUUGAACGCUGGCGGCAGGCCUAACACAUGCAAGUCGAGCGAGCGGCGGACGGGUGAGUAAUGUCUGGGAAAUUGCCUGAUGGAGGGGGAUAACUACUGGAAACGGUAGCUAAUACCGCAUACCAUCAGAUGUGCCCAGAUGGGAUUCGCGGGUAGGUGGGGUAACGGCUUACCUAGGCGACGAACCCUAGCUGGUCUGAGAGGAUGACCAGCAACACGGGAGCGGAGACGAGGUCCAGACUCGUACGGGAGGCAGCAGUGGGGAAUAUUGAACAAAGGGCGCAAGCCUGAUGCAGCCAUGCCGCGUGUGUGAAGAAGGCCUUCGGGUUGUAGAGCACUUUCAGCGGGGAGGCUUUUCCCGCAGACGAAGCACCGGCUAACUCCGUGCCAGCAGCCGCGGUAAUAC
This 406-nucleotide ribosomal RNA is filed under the name uncultured bacterium. RNAcentral's name for it is "partial 16S ribosomal RNA". It matches the Rfam family "Bacterial small subunit ribosomal RNA", at positions 29 to 526 of the family's 1533-position model. The record is from RNAcentral.